This 428-nucleotide ribosomal RNA is filed under the name uncultured prokaryote. RNAcentral describes it as "bacterial SSU rRNA". It matches the Rfam family "Bacterial small subunit ribosomal RNA", at positions 355 to 774 of the family's 1533-position model. The record is from RNAcentral.
UGGGGAAUUUUGCGCAAUGGGCGAAAGCCUGACGCAGCAACGCCGCGUGAGUGAUGAAGGCUUUCGGGUCGUAAAGCUCUGUCAAGGGGAAAGAAGUGUAUUAUGGUUAAUACCCAUGAUGCUUGACGGUACCCCUAAAGGAAGCACCGGCUAACUCCGUGCCAGCAGCCGCGGUAAUACGGGGGGUGCAAGCGUUGUUCGGAAUUAUUGGGCGUAAAGCGCGUGUAGGCGGUUUGUUAAGUCUGAGGUGAAAGCCCCGGGCUCAACCUGGGAAGUGCAUUGGAAACUGGCAGACUUGAAGACGGGAGAGGGUAGUGGAAGUCCUGGUGUAGGAGUGAAAUCCGUAGAUAUCAGGAGGAACACCGGUGGCGAAGGCGACUGCCUGGACCGAUAUUGACGCUGAGACGCGAAAGCGUGGGUAGCAAACA